UAGGGAAUCUUCCGCAAUGGACGCAAGUCUGACGGAGCAACGCCGCGUGAGUGAAGAAGGAUUUCGGUUCGUAAAACUCUGUUGUUAGAGAAGAACAGCGCAUAGAGUAACUGUUAUGCGUGUGACGGUAUCUAACCAGAAAGCCACGGCUAACUACGUGCCAGCAGCCGCGGUAAUACGAAGGUGGCAAGCGUUGUCCGGAUUUAUUGGGCGUAAAGCGAGCGCAGGCGGUCAAUUAAGUCUGAUGUGAAAGCCCCCGGCUCAACCGGGGAGGGUCAUUGGAAACUGGUUGACUUGAGUGCAGAAGAGGAGAGUGGAAUUCCAUGUGUAGCGGUGAAAUGCGUAGAUAUAUGGAGGAACACCAGUGGCGAAGGCGACUCUCUGGUCUGUAACUGACGCUGAGGCUCGAAAGCGUGGGUAGCAAACAGG
Molecule: ribosomal RNA, 429 nt
Filed under: Bacteroidota bacterium
Lineage: Bacteria; Pseudomonadati; Bacteroidota
Description: Bacteroidetes bacterium partial 16S ribosomal RNA
Rfam family: Bacterial small subunit ribosomal RNA
Source: RNAcentral